CGUUCGAUAGCUCAGUUGGAUAGAGCAGCCAUUUUCGGAUGGCCUGUCGCGGGUUCGAUUCCCGCUCGAACAC
This 73-nucleotide transfer RNA is filed under the name Ectopseudomonas mendocina ymp. Its description in RNAcentral is "Pseudomonas mendocina ymp tRNA-OTHER". It matches the Rfam family "tRNA". From Rfam's summary of the family: Transfer RNA (tRNA) molecules are approximately 80 nucleotides in length. The record is from RNAcentral. Lineage: Bacteria; Pseudomonadati; Pseudomonadota; Gammaproteobacteria; Pseudomonadales; Pseudomonadaceae.